Polyodon spathula (Mississippi paddlefish) is the source of this 712-nucleotide long non-coding RNA. RefSeq lists it as uncharacterized. Lineage: Eukaryota; Metazoa; Chordata; Actinopteri; Acipenseriformes; Polyodontidae. The transcript is spliced from 5 exons. The record is from RefSeq and is a predicted model, not a curated record.
AGCUAUUCAUAUAUGAAUGAGUAUUUUACAAUAAAACAUCUUGAAAAUCCAUUCAGGAAGAAAAAGCAAAACAAUCAGAUGAAAAACAGUUCGACACAAGUAAAGGAAAUAACAAAAUACAGUGAGUCAGUCCUGCUCAACAGAGACACACGGGAAUACAGUUUGCCGUACUGUAAGCAACAAGAGUGUCUUAUCCAGCAUCCAGGAUUUCUGCAGCACUGAUAAGAUUCACCCAACUACCUUGACCAUGUAUCGGAACAAGUGGACAAAUACAGGGGGCAGACUGUGUCUCUGGAGAAGCCAGCAGGGUAUCCAAUGAGAACUGGGGGGCUAGAUGACACAAUCUAUGCAGAAAUGGAGGAUGAGCUUGAAGCAUGGGAAGAUUUGUACCUUCCUGAAAGAGUAGAGAUGAGAGUUAUCGGUGCCAUUGAUACCUUCCCGAGUCUGGCUGUGGGGCUGCAGCUGAUCAUUCUGGCAGGCAAAGAUGGCAACGUCUAUGCUUAUGAAAAUGAGGUGUUGCACCAAGUGGCUGACAGCUUGCAGGACCUCUUACAAAAUGGAAUUUAGUUUCCUGGAACCAAAGUCUACAACUAUGGGAAAUGUUUUGCUCCUAUGACGGAAGAAGAAUACGAUGAAUUAAUGUAGGAUGAAGAAGUAAAGAAAAUGAAAGAGGAGACCAGGGAAUUCAUCAAAAGCAAAGAAGCCAAAUUUC